GCCGGAGAGUAAGGAGGAGCCGGGUGGAGGAAAUGCUUCAGAGAAGAGGAAACGUGCACGAUGCCCUUUUCCCAUCCCACGUGGCAAGAUGAAACGUAGGGCUCAGAGAUCACAAGGAGGCAGAGAGACAGGCAGAGAGAGAGAAGAAGGGAAGCAGGAUCCCUGCCCAGCAGCAAGCCCGAUGCAGGGCUUGAUCCCAGGACCCUGGGAUCAUGACCUGAGCUGAAGGCAGAGGCUUUAACCCACUGAGCCACCCAGGUGCCCCUUUACAUUUUUAAUGGUUGAAUAAAAUCAAAAGAAAAAUAAUAUUUUG
Molecule: long non-coding RNA, 313 nt
Filed under: Mustela putorius furo (domestic ferret)
Lineage: Eukaryota; Metazoa; Chordata; Mammalia; Carnivora; Mustelidae
Description: lncRNA (ENSMPUG00000029284.1)
Source: RNAcentral